Long non-coding RNA from Cucumis sativus (cucumber), 582 nucleotides. RefSeq lists it as uncharacterized. NCBI's taxonomy places the organism in Eukaryota, Viridiplantae, Streptophyta, Magnoliopsida, Cucurbitales, Cucurbitaceae. The transcript has 3 exons. The record is from RefSeq and is a predicted model, not a curated record.
UUUAAUACUUGUAAAGUAAACACCGUGCAAAUUGGCUAUAGGAACAAUUAAUAAUAUUGUUGCAAUAGCAACCGUACUUGAUGAUAGCAAUGGUGGUCCCAAUGUUAAAAUCUUGGUGGACUUGCUCACAGGAGGAGAUUGUAGUUUACCUAUUCCAGUGAAGGGCAAGAUAGAGACUUUAAAUCAAGCAUUAGAGGAUUAAAAACAUGGCAAGCUAAGCAUGAUUUACAACAUUAUCGGUCAAAUCCGAAAUGGAAACCUAUAAAGGUAAUUUGCAUUGACACAUAAUUAUUUUCAAUGAAACAUAAGAAUAAUUUGUAUGUAAUUUAUAUACAUGCAGUGUCCUCGUCAAUUGGAUUCGGUUGGGUGUGGGUAUUAUGUCCAAAAGUAUAUACAUGAAAUCAUGCAUAUUUCUAUUUAAUACAAAAAAGUGCAUAUACGCAAGAGGAGAUUGACGAGAUUCGAACAAAAUAUGCAAGCUUUGUUAGCCGAUUUGUGUAAGCUUUUACACUUUUUUUGUAGUAUAUAAGUUACUAGUACUAAUACUAAUUGUUUUAAUAUAUAAGCUACGAGAUUCUAGUA